RNAcentral lists this ribosomal RNA (330 nucleotides) under uncultured eukaryote. RNAcentral's name for it is "partial 18S ribosomal RNA". It matches the Rfam family "Eukaryotic small subunit ribosomal RNA", at positions 1470 to 1796 of the family's 1831-position model. The record is from RNAcentral.
CCCUUAGAUGUUCUGGGCCGCACGCGCGCUACACUGAUGCAUUCAACGAGUCUAAAACCUGGUCUGAUAGGGCUGGGUAAUCUUUUGAAAGUGCAUCGUGAUUGGGAUAGGUGAUUGCAAUUCUUCAUCUUCAACGAGGAAUGCCUAGUAAACGCAAGUCAUCAGCUUGCAUUGAUUACGUCCCUGCCCUUUGUACACACCGCCCGUCGCUCCUACCGAUUGAAUGAUCCGAUGAAUACCAUGGAUUGAGAGUACGAAUGGGUUCGCUCAUUUCUGCUGCUCGAGAAGUGGAGUAAAUCUUAUCAUUUAGAGGAAGGAGAAGUCGUAACA